CACACACACACAGCUUUAUCAGCCAGAGCAGCAAAACUGAUUUCAGGUUGAAGUUUCUGUGGAGGAAGUGAAUGGAGGUGAAACACAACACAAACCCUGAGGAAGAUUUGGUACAACAGCAGGAGACCACAGAUGAAGAACAUUUAUAUUCCAGAUUACAGUAGUUUUUCUUCUUCCAGACCACAAUUCCAGCAACAACAGCAACAAGAACAACGAGAGACACAACCACACCAACAAUAAUACCAAUCUGUCCUCCAUCUGAUCCUCCAUCUGAUCCUCCAUCUGAUCCUCCACCUGAACCUCCAUCUGAUCCUCCAUCUGAUCCUCCAUCUGUUAAAUCAUCACAGAGUGUUUAUUA
Long non-coding RNA from Silurus meridionalis, 358 nucleotides. RefSeq lists it as uncharacterized. The transcript has 3 exons. The record is from RefSeq and is a predicted model, not a curated record. Lineage: Eukaryota; Metazoa; Chordata; Actinopteri; Siluriformes; Siluridae.